AGUGAACGCUGGCGGUAGGCCUAACACAUGCAAGUCGAACGGCAGCACAGUAAGAGCUUGCUCUUACGGGUGGCGAGUGGCGGACGGGUGAGGAAUACAUCGGAAUCUACUUUUUCGUGGGGGAUAACGUAGGGAAACUUACGCUAAUACCGCAUACGACCUACGGGUGAAAGCAGUGGAUCUUCGCACCUUGCGCGAUUGAAUGAGCCGAUGUCGGAUUAGCUAGUUGGCGGGGUAAAGGCCCACCAAGGCGACGAUCCGUAGCUGGUCUGAGAGGAUGAUCAGCCACACUGGAACUGAGACACGGUCCAGACUCCUACGGGAGGCAGCAGUGGGGAAUAUUGGACAAUGGGCGCAAGCCUGAUCCAGCCAUACCGCGUGGGUGAAGAAGGCCUUCGGGUUGUAAAGCCCUUUUGUUGGGAAAGAAAAGCAGCAGGUUAAUACCCCGCUGUUCUGACGGUACCCAAGGAAUAAGCACCGGCUAACUUCGUG
Molecule: ribosomal RNA, 492 nt
Filed under: uncultured bacterium
Lineage: Bacteria
Description: partial 16S ribosomal RNA
Rfam family: Bacterial small subunit ribosomal RNA
Source: RNAcentral